This is a long non-coding RNA of Oncorhynchus keta (chum salmon), 749 nucleotides long. RefSeq lists it as uncharacterized. Lineage: Eukaryota; Metazoa; Chordata; Actinopteri; Salmoniformes; Salmonidae. The transcript has 4 exons. The record is from RefSeq and is a predicted model, not a curated record.
UAGAGGAUGUGUGUAUCAGGGUCGUAGCAGAGUGAUUGAUCAGUAUUGAUUACCUUGCCAGCCAGGUAGAGGAUGUGUGUAUCAGGGUCGUAGCAGAGUGAUUGAUCAGUAUUGAUUACCUUGCCAGCCAGGUAGAGGAUGUGUGUAUCAGGGUCGUAGCAGAGUGAUUGAUCAGUAUUGAUUACCUUGCCAGCCAGGUAGAGGAUGUGUGUAUCAGGGUCGUAGCAGAGUGAUUGAUCAGUAUUGAUUACCUUGCCAGCCAGGUAGAGGAUGUGUGUAUCAGGGUCGUAGCAGAGUGAUUGAUCAGUAUUGAUUACCUUGCCAGCCAGGUAGAGGAUGUGUGUAUCAGGGUCGUAGCAGAGUGAUUGAUCAGUAUUGAUUACCUUGCCAGCCAGGUAGAGGAUGUGUGUAUCAGGGUCGUAGCAGAGUGAUUGAUCAGUAUUGAUUACCUUGCCAGCCAGGUAGAGGAUGUGUGUAUCAGGGUCGUAGCAGAGUGAUUGAUCAGUAUUGAUUACCUUGCCAGCCAGGUAGAGGAUGUGUGUAUCAGGGUCGUAGCAGAGUGAUUGAUCAGUAUUGAUUACCUUGCCAGCCAGGUAGAGGAUGUGUGUAUCAGGGUCGUAGCAGAGUGAUUGAUCAGUAUUGAUUACCUUGCCAGCCAGGUAGAGGAUGUGUGUAUCAGGGUCGUAGCAGAGUGAUUGAUCAGUAUUGAUUACCUUGCCAGCCAGGUAGAGGAUGUGUGUAUCAGGGUC